Melanotaenia boesemani (Boeseman's rainbowfish) is the source of this 308-nucleotide long non-coding RNA. RefSeq lists it as uncharacterized. NCBI's taxonomy places the organism in Eukaryota, Metazoa, Chordata, Actinopteri, Atheriniformes, Melanotaeniidae. The record is from RefSeq and is a predicted model, not a curated record. The transcript has 2 exons.
AUUUCAGCUUCUAUUGUCAGCUGGUUAACAAACAGCUCUCUGCUAACAGAUGUGCAGCUAUGAUCUCAUCCUUCAUUCAGCACUAAAGGUGGAGCGGAGACCAGACCUUCAUUCAAUACUGAAGGUGGAGCAGAGACCGGACCUUCAUGUAAUAUUUAAGGUGGAGCAGAGACCGGACCUUCAUGCAGUAUUUAAGGUGGAGCAGAGACCGGACCUUCAUGUAAUAUUUAAGGUGGAGCAGAGACCGGACCUUCAUGCAGUAUUUAAGGUGGAGCAGAGGCCGGACCUUCAUGCAGUAUUUAAGGUGG